AACUCUCUGGGGAAAGCUGCAGUUCUGCUGUUAAAACACAAGGAGCAGCCUGGAGAAUUUUGAGCUGCGUCACACAGCUCAGAGGGAGAGAGAGAGAGAGAGAACAAGCUCUGUCGAUAGGUCUACUAGCAACAGCCCUGCUGCAGUGAGAGAGAGACAGAGAGAUCAUGAGAGAGAAGUAAUAACAACAUUGUGCAGCGUGGUUCUUUCAGCCAUCCAGCAUCUUUUCAAAAAGAAAUAUUAUUUGGGGACUCAUUUCGUACCGAUGGAUUUGUCCAUUGAUGAUACCGGAAAGAUACAACACAGUUAAUCCCGCAAUGGAGGGGGGGGGGCAAGCGUAGGAAGGGUUAAUAGGAGGACAAUUCUGGAAUGUUCUAUCCUGCGGCGAAGUGAGCAGAGGGCUGAGGACUUCACAGGUGUAGACAUACUGAUCUCAUGGUUCCUUGUUUUCUUUACUAUGGGUCGUUCCUCUGCAGGGCUGGCUCCUCCAGAGGCAGUCUUGCAUCCUGCAGCGCUAGUUCCGCAGAGGAGGCAAUGGGAGACUCAACUAUGAUGGCCAUUCUGGUUAGGGUUGGAUUCGCUACUGAGACUGCAUUUGUUCCUGGCAGGAGCAGGGAGAAUUUAACGCAGCUGGGACAUCUCACCUAGCUUAAAGAUGGACUCUGAAGCAGAAAGCUACCAAGAACACCACUAAAUUCAAUACGUGUAAAUAAAGUGAAGAAGCAAGUUUGCAGAAUUCCUGGCUAUUAAUAUUCUUCCAGUUUAAUAUGGCCGAAUGACAAACAUCUUCCCUGGUGUCUGCAUGGUCCACCACCAACUGGCUGAAUAAUAUGACCUACAGAAUUAUCCACUUAAAGUGAAACAGAAGAAUAUGGAUCUUAGGAGAAAAACCAAUUUAUGUACUGUUCUGCAUCUUGACUUCCAGUGUAUCAUGAGAUAUUCUUACAGAAAUAGCCAUCAAUCAGGCAUAUUUUGAAGAACAGAAGGAGAUCCAGAUGGAAGAAAUAACUGAAUACUAUUUAUAAAAAAAUUAUACUGGAGAUGGAAUGAAGAAACUGAAAGAAUAAAUGAAGAAAAAAGGAAGACCACCAAGAACAGAAACUUUAAGAACACCAGCAAGAGAAGAAAAGGAAGUAAAAAAAUGAGCCAUUAACAGAAGCAUAAAAGUGGUGUUAGUCUGAUAAGAUUGAAACCAAGAAAGGAGAAAACAAGUGAAAGUAAUGUGAAGAAGCAACAAAAUCAUUACAUGACAUAGAACAGAGUGCAUAAGAAAGGUCAAGAAUAAAAGCAUGUUAGAGUGGAAGGAGCCCCAUUGUGCAGAGCGGUAAGCUGUAGUACUGUCAAAGCUCUGCUCACAACCUGUAUUUGAUCUGGUUCAGGUAGCCUGCUCAAGGUUGACUCAGGCUUCCGUCCUUUUCAGGUUGACUCAGCCUUCCAUUUUUCCAAAGUUGGUAGGUAGCCUGCUGGGGUAAAACAUAGAUGGCUGGGAAAGGUAAUGACAAACCAUCUUGUAAAACAUAGUCUCCCUGGUAAAUAUCAUGAUGUAAUGUCACCACAUGGGUCACUAAUGACCCAGUGCUUGCACAGGGGACUUCCUUUUUCUUUUAAAAAGUAGAAUGAAACUGACUGGAAGGGAUCAAGAAGGGAGUUAGAUACAAUAUUGAGAAGAAACAAAAUUAAUAUUUAUUUAUUUUUAAAGAAAAAAAUUAGGCUGCCUCUUUAGGAACCUGUUUGAGGCAGCUUACCAAAUGAAUAAAAUAAUAAAACAAAUAAUUAAAAGUUACUAAUUAAAAUCCAGCAUUAAAUUUUAGGAGGUUUGACAGAAAUGAAGCAAACAGAAGACAAUAAUUAGAGCAGGGGUUUCCAACAUGAUGUGGUGCCCACCAACACCUUUCCUAGUGGCUCACCAAGCAUAUUUAGAUAGGGGCCAGGUGGCUUCCGAUGUUCCUAUGUCACAUGAAGCUUGCUGGGUGACCUUGGGCCGGUCCCAGUUCUUUCAGAACUUUUUCAGCCCAGGCAGAGGCAGGCAAUGGCAAACCAUCUCUUUUCUUGAAAACCCCACCAGAGGUUGUCAUAAGUCAGCAGUGACUUGAUGGCGUGCACACAUGCACACACGCAAAAAAUGCUUAGGACAGAGAAGGGGAGGUAAGCAUCUGCCUCACCGGAGAGUCGAAAGAGAAUUAGUUUGAUCAUUUUCUGUAAAUUGAGCAGAUGACCAAUUUCCUCUGAAUGGGCUCUCACUGCCCUGCCUAGGUCAAGAAGGCCAAACCCAGCUGCUGAGCCCACUUAGUCGCCCCCUCCACCCACCAAAGUCAAGUUGCACAAGGAGGCAGCACCCACCAAACCGACUUCGGGGAAGAAGUCACAGCGCAGGCUGGAUACCAUCGUGCUGGAAGAUAUCAAAGAGCACAUGAAGCAGCUGCAAAAAGCCAUCUCUAAGGAGCCUCAUUACGUUCUUUGAGCCCUGAGAGCACUACCCUCCACCUCCCAUCACCUCAAUCCCAGUGUGCUUUGGAAAGCCACCAAUGUUUUUUUUCCACAUCCAACAGUGCUGUCCAGUUUCCCCUAAACACUUGAGUAGAGUUUCUGAUCUUCUGCCUGUAGGCCAAUGGUCCCUUAAAAGAGCUGUGUUCUCUCAGGGGUUUGCUUUGACCCUGGAUGUAUACCUUCAGCAACAGUGUGAUAGGCAUGGUUAACAUCUGUUGUAUUGAGCCCACUGUUAUUAAUCCUUUAACUGAAGCUAAAAAAAAUUGUCUCUGCAGUUACUCAGUGGUAUGAAAAAAAAAAGAUUAAUAUAAAAUGGUUAAUAUAAAAUGAUGUAAAA
Molecule: long non-coding RNA, 2824 nt
Organism: Sphaerodactylus townsendi
Lineage: Eukaryota; Metazoa; Chordata; Lepidosauria; Squamata; Sphaerodactylidae
Exons: 4
Source: RefSeq, a predicted model, not a curated record